CCAAACUUGGUCAUUUAGAGGAAGUAAAAGUCGUAACAAGGUUUCCGUAGGUGAACCUGCGGAAGGAUCAUUAACAAGUUGAAUUGAAGUUGUUCUGGUCUUUUGGGGCAAGUGAACACUUCUCUCUCAUCCAUCUUACCCCUGUGCACUUUUGAGAGGUUGACUGUUUGAUUAUAAUAACUAAAGUUGGUCCACGACGGCAGUUUUGAAUCAGUGGAAUCUAAGUUGGAAACAAUGGUGAUUCUAAUGGUCUCCUCUUAUUUUACACCAUACUACAAAGUAUUAGAAAGUCUUAUUGCUUGAUGCAAAUAAAUACAACUUUCAGCAACGGAUCUCUUGGCUCUCGCAUCGAUGAAGAACGCAGC
This 365-nucleotide unclassified non-coding RNA is filed under the name uncultured fungus. RNAcentral describes it as "partial contains small subunit ribosomal RNA, internal transcribed spacer 1, and 5.8S ribosomal RNA". The stretch from base 1 to 73 matches the Rfam family "Eukaryotic small subunit ribosomal RNA", at positions 1759 to 1831 of the family's 1831-position model. The record is from RNAcentral. Lineage: Eukaryota; Fungi.